Molecule: ribosomal RNA, 758 nt
Filed under: Holocnemus caudatus
Lineage: Eukaryota; Metazoa; Arthropoda; Arachnida; Araneae; Pholcidae
Description: partial large subunit ribosomal RNA
Rfam family: Eukaryotic large subunit ribosomal RNA (bases 474-758)
Source: RNAcentral
GUGGGCCCUCGAAAUCCCGUUGCGGGGGGAUUCAGGCGAGACCCGCGGGGAGGCAGUCGGCUGUCGGCACCGACCUCUAGAAAGGCGGAGCCGACGGCUUGGUCUCCGCGGGGCUCGUCGCACUUCCUCCCGCACUGCGGACGCCGCAGCCCGUUCGGUAGAGGCGAGAGUCUGCCGUGAGGCGGGGAGAGGCAGUUGGCCGGGUUUCGUUCCUCGCGUUCGAUCUCCGGUUGCUAGCCUCCCCGUCCGAGGCGGGACACCGGACGGAGGCAGAAGCCACCCUCAGGGGAGGCUCGCCGUCCCCUUCCUCGGAUGCGCGGUCCGGAUGGCUGGUGCUCGUCAGGCGGCUGGGAGUCACUCCCGAGAGUGGCCCCGGCUUCCCGCACCUCCGGAGGCCGACCGGAUACGCGCGGAGGGGAUGACGGCUGGCGGCGAGUAGGUCGGUCACCCACCCGACCCGUCUUGAAACACGGACCAAGGAGUCUAACAUGUGCGCGAGUCUCAGGGUCUUGACCAGGCCCUGGGGCGCAGUGAAGGUGACGGAAUCGUAGAGUUUCCGAGCGUUGGGACCGGAGUCCGCUGGCUCCGAGCACCAACGGCGCGCCCCGUCCGGUGCUCCGGUGGGGCGCAGUCGGAGCGUACACGUUGGGACCCGAAAGAUGGUGAACUAUGCCUGGGCAGGACGAAGUCAGAGGAAACUCUGAUGGAGGUCCGCCGCGGUUCUGACGUGCCAAUCGAUCGUCGGGAUCCGGGGUAUA